Molecule: transfer RNA, 89 nt
Filed under: Deltaproteobacteria bacterium
Lineage: Bacteria; Pseudomonadati; Myxococcota; Myxococcia
Description: tRNA-Leu
Rfam family: tRNA
About the family: Transfer RNA (tRNA) molecules are approximately 80 nucleotides in length.
Source: RNAcentral
GCCGGGAUGGCGGAACAGGCAGACGCCGCGGACUUAAAAUCCGCUGCGGGGCAACCCGCGUGGGGGUUCGAAUCCCCCUCCCGGCACUA